This 378-nucleotide ribosomal RNA is filed under the name uncultured bacterium. RNAcentral describes it as "bacterial SSU rRNA". It matches the Rfam family "Bacterial small subunit ribosomal RNA", at positions 524 to 898 of the family's 1533-position model. The record is from RNAcentral.
CACGUAGGGGGCAAGCGUUGUCCGGAUUCAUUGGGCGUAAAGAGCUCGUAGGCGGCUCGGUAAGUCGGGUGUGAAACCUCUGGGCUCAACCCAGAGACGCCACCUGAUACUGCCGUGGCUAGAGUCCAGCAGGGGAGCGUGGAAUUCCCGGUGUAGCGGUGAAAUGCGCAGAUAUCGGGAGGAACACCAGCGGCGAAGGCGGCGCUCUGGGCUGGUACUGACGCUGAGGAGCGAAAGCGUGGGUAGCGAACAGGAUUAGAUACCCUGGUAGUCCACGCCGUAAACGUUGGGCACUAGGUGUGGGACCCUUCCAACGGGUUCUGUGCCGCAGCUAACGCAUUAAGUGCCCCGCCUGGGGAGUACGGCCGCAAGGCUAAA